Molecule: ribosomal RNA, 1014 nt
Filed under: Diaporthe vawdreyi
Lineage: Eukaryota; Fungi; Ascomycota; Sordariomycetes; Diaporthales; Diaporthaceae
Description: eukaryotic LSU rRNA
Rfam family: Eukaryotic large subunit ribosomal RNA
Source: RNAcentral
GGAGAAAGAACCAACAGGGGAUGCCCUAGUAACGGCGAGUGAAGCGGCAACAGCUCAAAUUUGAAAUCUGGCCUCGGCCCGAGUUGUAAUUUGCAGAGGAUGCUUCUGGCGCGGUGCCUUCCGAGUUCCCUGGAACGGGACGCCACAGAGGGUGAGAGCCCCGUAUGGUCGGACACCAAGCCUGUGUGAAGCUCCUUCGACGAGUCGAGUAGUUUGGGAAUGCUGCUCUAAAUGGGAGGUAAAUCUCUUCUAAAGCUAAAUACCGGCCAGAGACCGAUAGCGCACAAGUAGAGUGAUCGAAAGAUGAAAAGCACCUUGAAAAGGGGGUUAAAUAGUACGUGAAAUUGUUGAAAGGGAAGCACUUGUGACCAGACUUGGGCCGGGCGGCUCAUCAGGGGUUCUCCCCUGUGCACUCCGCCCGGCACAGGCCAGCAUCGGUUCUCGUGGGGGGAUAAGACCGUCAGGAACGUAGCACCCUCCGGGGUGUGUUAUAGCCUGGCGGACGAUACCCCCGUGGGGACCGAGGUUCGCGCUCCGCAAGGAUGCUGGCGUAAUGGUCACCAGUGACCCGUCUUGAAACACGGACCAAGGAGUCGUCCAUUAGAGCGAGCGUUUGGGUGUAAAACCCGCACGCGUAAUGAAAGUGAACGCAGGUGAGAGCUUCGGCGCAUCAUCGACCGAUCCUGAUGUUCUCGGAAGGAUUUGAGUAAGAGUUUUAACGGACGGACCCGAAAGACAGUGAACUAUGCUUGUAUAGGGUGAAGCCAGAGGAAACUCUGGUGGAGGCUCGCAGCGGUUCUGACGUGCAAAUCGAUCGUCAAAUAUGAGCAUGGGGGGCGAAAGACUAAUCGAACUGUCUAGUAGCUGGUUACCGCCGAAGUUUCCCUCAGGAUAGCAGUGUUGAUCUUCAGUUUUAUGAGGUAAAGCGAAUGAUUAGGGACUCGGGGGCUAUAUAUUGCCUUCAUCCAUUCUCAAACUUUAAAUAUGUAAGAAGCCCUUGUUACUUAGUUGAAC